UUUUCGCCGCUUUCAAGCACUU
This 22-nucleotide small nuclear RNA is filed under the name Arabidopsis thaliana (thale cress). RNAcentral's name for it is "snRNA_02689". Lineage: Eukaryota; Viridiplantae; Streptophyta; Magnoliopsida; Brassicales; Brassicaceae. The record is from RNAcentral.